CAUUACAAGUGACCCCGGUCUAACCACCGGGAUGUUCAUAACCCUUUGUUGUCCGACUCUGUUGCCUCCGGGGCGACCCUGCCUUCGGGCGGGGGCUCCGGGUGGACACUUCAAACUCUUGCGUAACUUUGCAGUCUGAGUAAACUUAAUUAAUAAAUUAAAACUUUUAACAACGGAUCUCUUGGUUCUGGCAUCGAUGAAGAACGCAGCGAAAUGCGAUAAGUAAUGUGAAUUGCAGAAUUCAGUGAAUCAUCGAAUCUUUGAACGCACAUUGCGCCCCCUGGUAUUCCGGGGGGCAUGCCUGUUCGAGCGUCAUUUCACCACUCAAGCCUCGCUUGGUAUUGGGCAACGCGGUCCGCCGCGUGCCUCAAAUCGACCGGCUGGGUCUUCUGUCCCCUAAGCGUUGUGGAAACUAUUCGCUAAAGGGUGUUCGGGAGGCUACGCCGUAAAACAACCCCAUUUCUAAGGUUGACCUCGGAUCAGGUAGGGAUACCCGCUGAACUUAAGCAUAUCAAUAAGCGGAGGAAAAGAAACCAACAGGGAUUGCUCUAGUAACGGCGAGUGAAGCAGCAAUAGCUCAAAUUUGAAAUCUGGCGUCUUCGACGUCCGAGUUGUAAUUUGUAGAGGAUGCUUCUGAGUAACCACCGACCUAAGUUCCUUGGAACAGGACGUCAUAGAGGGUGAGAAUCCCGUAUGCGGUCGGAAAGGUGCUCUAUACGUAGCUCCUUCGACGAGUCGAGUUGUUUGGGAAUGCAGCUCUAAAUGGGAGGUAAAUUUCUUCUAAAGCUAAAUAUUGGCCAGAGACCGAUAGCGCACAAGUAGAGUGAUCGAAAGAUGAAAAGCACUUUGGAAAGAGAGUUAAAAAGCACGUGAAAUUGUUAAAAGGGAAGGGAUUGCAACCAGACUUGCUCGCGGUGUUCCGCCGGUCUUCUGACCGGUCUACUCGCCGCGUUGCAGGCCAGCAUCGUCUGGUGCCGCUGGAUAAGACUUGAGGA
RNAcentral lists this ribosomal RNA (995 nucleotides) under Dothideomycetes sp. genotype csw009. Its description in RNAcentral is "eukaryotic LSU rRNA". The stretch from base 470 to 995 matches the Rfam family "Eukaryotic large subunit ribosomal RNA", at positions 1 to 532 of the family's 3401-position model. The record is from RNAcentral. Lineage: Eukaryota; Fungi; Ascomycota; Dothideomycetes.